AGUGGGGAAUCUUGGACAAUGGGGGCAACCCUGAUCCAGCCAUGCCGCGUGAGCGAUGAAGGCCUUAGGGUUGUAAAGCUCUUUCAGCGGGGAAGAUAAUGACGGUACCCGCAGAAGAAGCCCCGGCUAACUCCGUGCCAGCAGCCGCGGUAAUACGGAGGGGGCUAGCGUUGUUCGGAAUUACUGGGCGUAAAGCGCACGUAGGCGGAUCAGUUAGUCGGGGGUGAAAUCCCGGGGCUCAACCCCGGAACUGCCUUCGAUACUGCUGGUCUGGAGGUCGAGAGAGGUGAGUGGAAUUCCGAGUGUAGAGGUGAAAUUCGUAGAUAUUCGGAGGAACACCAGUGGCGAAGGCGGCUCACUGGCUCGAUACUGACGCUGAGGUGCGAAAGCGUGGGGAGCAAA
This 402-nucleotide ribosomal RNA is filed under the name uncultured Oceanicella sp. RNAcentral describes it as "bacterial SSU rRNA". It matches the Rfam family "Bacterial small subunit ribosomal RNA", at positions 353 to 772 of the family's 1533-position model. The record is from RNAcentral. Lineage: Bacteria; Pseudomonadati; Pseudomonadota; Alphaproteobacteria; Rhodobacterales; Paracoccaceae.